RNAcentral lists this transfer RNA (72 nucleotides) under Bos taurus (domestic cattle). It matches the Rfam family "tRNA". From Rfam's summary of the family: Transfer RNA (tRNA) molecules are approximately 80 nucleotides in length. Their secondary structure includes four short double-helical elements and three loops (D, anti-codon, and T loops). Further hydrogen bonds mediate the characteristic L-shaped molecular structure. tRNAs have two regions of fundamental functional importance: the anti-codon, which is responsible for specific mRNA codon recognition, and the 3' end, to which the tRNAs corresponding amino acid is attached (by aminoacyl-tRNA synthetases). tRNAs cope with the degeneracy of the genetic code in two manners: having more than one tRNA (with a specific anti-codon) for a particular amino acid; and 'wobble' base-pairing, i.e. permitting non-standard base-pairing at the 3rd anti-codon position. Lineage: Eukaryota; Metazoa; Chordata; Mammalia; Artiodactyla; Bovidae. The record is from Rfam by way of RNAcentral. RNAcentral also lists the same sequence under 4 other names.
UCCCAAGUAGCUCAGCUGGUAAAGAAUCCACCUGCAAUGCGGGAGACCUGGGUUCCAUCCCUAGGUUGGGAA